Molecule: unclassified non-coding RNA, 258 nt
Filed under: Athalia rosae (coleseed sawfly)
Lineage: Eukaryota; Metazoa; Arthropoda; Insecta; Hymenoptera; Athaliidae
Description: misc RNA ENSAEAG00005006359.1
Source: RNAcentral
AUUCAUACUUGACAGACGUCGAAGUUCUUCGCGAUACAGUUCAACUUUCAACUACCAUGAAAAAUUCGUAUAAGGCUUUCAAUCAGUCAUCACGGUGCCUAGUUCAUCGCAGUACUCAUUCAACUUCCAACCACGAAGGGCAGGAGUUACAUGGCAUCGCACGAUUCGUUUACAGGUAUGAAUUAUAAGUAUCAGUGUGAUAUAAGUCAGAGUAUAUUAUAAAAAUAUAUUCAAUGUAAUAUAUUAAUUCGUCACAUU